CCUACGGGAGGCAGCAGUGGGGAAUAUUGGACAAUGGGCGAAAGCCUGAUCCAGCCAUGCCGCGUGUGUGAAGAAGGCCUUCGGGUUGUAAAGCACUUUCAGUGGGGAAGAAAGCCUUGGGGCUAAUACCCUCGAGGAAGGACAUCACCAACAGAAGAAGCACCGGCUAACUCCGUGCCAGCAGCCGCGGUAAUACGGAGGGUGCGAGCGUUAAUCGGAAUUACUGGGCGUAAAGCGCGCGUAGGCGGUCUGAUAAGCCGGUUGUGAAAGCCCCGGGCUCAACCUGGGAACGGCAUCCGGAACUGUCAGGCUAGAGUGCAGGAGAGGAAGGUAGAAUUCCCGGUGUAGCGGUGAAAUGCGUAGAGAUCGGGAGGAAUACCAGUGGCGAAGGCGGCCUUCUGGACUGACACUGACGCUGAGGUGCGAAAGCGUGGGUAGCAAACAGGAUUAGAUACCCCAGUAGUC
This 465-nucleotide ribosomal RNA is filed under the name Vreelandella stevensii. RNAcentral's name for it is "partial 16S ribosomal RNA". It matches the Rfam family "Bacterial small subunit ribosomal RNA", at positions 338 to 795 of the family's 1533-position model. The record is from RNAcentral. Lineage: Bacteria; Pseudomonadati; Pseudomonadota; Gammaproteobacteria; Oceanospirillales; Halomonadaceae.